Molecule: ribosomal RNA, 497 nt
Filed under: uncultured bacterium
Lineage: Bacteria
Description: partial 16S ribosomal RNA
Rfam family: Bacterial small subunit ribosomal RNA
Source: RNAcentral
GAUGAACGCUGGCGGCGUGCCUAAUACAUGCAAGUCGAGCGAACAGAUGAGGAUCGUUCGCCUCUGACGUUAGCGGCGGACGCGUGAGUGACACACGGAUAACCAACCUACAUGACAGGGGUAACUUCGGGGAACAGGAGCGAAUACCUAAUAAGUACUUUAACCGCUUGGUACAAUAGGGAAAGACGGUUUUGCUGUCACUGAUAGAUGGAUCCGCGCCGUAUUAGCGUUUUGGUAAGGUAACGGCUUACCAAGGCAACGAUGCGUAGCAGACCUGAGAGGGUGAUCGGCCCCACUGGAACUGAGACACGGUCCAGACUCCUACGGGAGGCAGCAGUAGGGAAUCUUCCGCAAUGGGCGAAGGGCUGACGGAGCAACGCCGCGUGAGUGAUGAAGGUCUUCGGAUCGUAAAACUCUGUUAUUAGGGAAGAACAAAUGUGUGAGUAACUAUGCACGUCUUGACGGUACCUAAUCAGAAAGCCACGGCUAACUCCGUG